AGAGUUUGAUCCUGGCUCAGGACGAACGCUGGCGGCGUGCUUAACACAUGCAAGUCGAGCGGAAAGGCCCUUCGGGGUACUCGAGCGGCGAACGGGUGAGUAACACGUGAGCAACCUGCCCCUGGCUCUGGGAUAGCUCCGGGAAACCGGGAUUAAUACCGGAUAUGACCUUCAUCUGCAUGGGUGUUGGUGGAAAGUUU
RNAcentral lists this ribosomal RNA (200 nucleotides) under uncultured bacterium. RNAcentral describes it as "partial 16S ribosomal RNA". It matches the Rfam family "Bacterial small subunit ribosomal RNA", at positions 8 to 210 of the family's 1533-position model. The record is from RNAcentral.